This 450-nucleotide ribosomal RNA is filed under the name uncultured bacterium. RNAcentral describes it as "partial 16S ribosomal RNA". It matches the Rfam family "Bacterial small subunit ribosomal RNA", at positions 354 to 796 of the family's 1533-position model. The record is from RNAcentral.
GUGGGGAAUUUUGGACAAUGGGCGCAAGCCUGAUCCAGCAAUGCCGCGUGCAGGAAGAAGGCCUUCGGGUUGUAAACUGCUUUUGUACGGAACGAAACGGUCCUAGUUAAUACCCGGGGCUAAUGACGGUACCGUAAGAAUAAGCACCGGCUAACUACGUGCCAGCAGCCGCGGUAAUACGUAGGGUGCAAGCGUUAAUCGGAAUUACUGGGCGUAAAGCGUGCGCAGGCGGUGCUGUAAGACAGGCGUGAAAUCCCCGGGCUUAACCUGGGAAUUGCGCUUGUGACUGCAGUGCUGGAGUGCGGCAGAGGGGGAUGGAAUUCCGCGUGUAGCAGUGACAUGCGUAGAUAUGCGGAGGAACACCGAUGGCGAAGGCAAUCCCCUGGGCCUGCACUGACGCUCAUGCACGAAAGCGUGGGGAGCAAACAGGAUUAGAAACCCCAGUAGUCC